This is a long non-coding RNA of Schistocerca piceifrons (Central American locust), 3153 nucleotides long. RefSeq lists it as uncharacterized. The record is from RefSeq and is a predicted model, not a curated record. The transcript has 2 exons. Lineage: Eukaryota; Metazoa; Arthropoda; Insecta; Orthoptera; Acrididae.
GAGUCGUGAAGCUGAGAUGAUACCCUGCUACAUUAAGGAUAUUUUAUAUUCUGAUUUGUUUUAAGUGAAAUAAUAUUUAAGGUUUCUGUUGUGUUCCAAGUAAUUGAAAGUACGAAGUGAUUUAGUGAAGUUUACCGUUGUACUUUGGCACUUUCAUGAAGUUGAGCAGCCCUUCUCAUUUCCCUAAAUAUAUCAAUUUUGCAUAAUGAUUACCAUGCAUUUCAUAUUACUAGUAAACUUACAGCUGAGGCAUCGUACAGUGAGUGAAGCAGGGAAUGAUUAAUGAAGACCAUUCCCCGACCAACUUGAGGAUAUCGUAUUAUUUAGCUUUUAUUUAGCAUACUGUCUUUCGUUAAACCGAUAUUUUUAUCAACAUUUUGGAUUUGAAAGAGACUGAAAUUACGUCUCAUUGAAUUAAGAGGUAUACCAGUUACAUGCACAUAAUUUGGACUGCAAACUGGGCAUAUUAAUUUGUUUCCCAUGGGAUCUUACAUACUGAUAAAUGAAACUCUAAAUACUUUCAAAACUUAGUGGAAUAUGAAAACCAAAUUCUUCUUUGUCAUUCCCAUUUCGUUCAUUAAUAAUCAUUCUGCUUAGGCCUGGAUACUGUCACAGUAAAAUAAGGUGAUGGAAAAAGAUUAUGAGCACCCAAAUUAAUUUAGUCCCAACUAUCAUGUGUAGCUGCCUGCAAUAUGUGACAAGUAGUAGCAAUGUGCUUCCAAAGCUUUGUUUCAUGCCUUGCCCCCUCACUCUUUUCACAUUACUUGGUAUUUCGCCACAGAAUUUAGUUGCACAACAGCACAAAUAAAAAAUAACUGUUGAAGCUGAAAAAGAAAUGUUCACAAUGGACUGCACUGUAUAAGCAGUUCAACUUCAGGUGAACCACUACACUGCCAAUGCAUAAACUGUUGUUUUGUUUAUGGUGUGGAAUGCAACACCUAUGUUUCAUCCCCAGUGACGACAUGGUUGCGAAACUAAUUGCAUUUCUCUGCUUGUAGCUGUAGUAAUGUCAGUGCUGCAGCCUGAUAUUCAGUUUUGUGUCCAUUUGUCAGUUGCCUUGGAACCCAUCUUGCACGCACUUUAUGAAAACCAAGCCACUGGAGACCGUUUUAUACAACACCGAAUAACACAUCUGGAACUGAUGAGAGAGUUCUGAAAUUGUGAAGUGCUGAUUCUGCAAAAUGCUUGCUGCGCACUUUCCAUCACUUCUGGUGUCACCAGAGAUGGUUGGAUACUAUGGUCUAUGUCAUGAAUUUUGGUUCAUUGUUUAGUGAAGUGCCUGCACAUCAUUUGACCCUACUGUCACUUAUAAUGUUCUGUCCAUACAUGGGAACAACUGGCAGUGGAUCUCUGGUGGAUAUUGCUUUUGAAGGUACAAAAUCAAUGCAGCCAUUUUAUCUUAGCCUGUGCAGUAACCACUGCCAUCACAAGACUGAAACUACACUGCAGUAUUCCCACAUACCUCCUCCCUACUCCUGUGCAUGCAUAUUCAUGUCCAACUAGUCAUGUCAUCUCUGGAUACAAUUGGAACUUCUACUUUCUGAAUGUACCUUGUUGAUAUUACCUUUGGAGGUAGUAAUUGUUUUCAGGAAUGAUGUGCCUUACUAUGUUUAUCAAUUGCAAAAUAAAAAUCAUGAGAUGCCACCAGAACUUCCGGUGUCAUCUGCUUGUAUAUAUAUUUCUUACAUAUGAUGCUCUGGAAUUCCACAUUUGGCACUCAGUACUACAAAGAAAUUGCAGAAUCACUUCUAAAUAUGUCAGUGGCUACUUUUUUGCCCAUGUGGAGGACAUAUAGCCAGCAAAUGUAAUCUAAAGAUGCUUUGUGAGCAAUCUACUCAUAGUCCAUUGUUAGUAGCUACCUCUUGUGUGCAGUGCACUCCCUGAGCCACUUAUAAAAGAGCUUUGCUGCCCCCAGUACCAUGAGCUGAGCUCAAAUGUUAUAACCCAUGAUGUCACAGAAGUCUGUCCUUUUGAUCUUCCACUCAGUUCAAAACCAAUAUGAAAAUGUUUAUCAUAUUCACAUUUUCUGUUAGUAACCAAAAGAAAACUACGUAUUAUCUCAAAACAGCUCUCACAUCAUUGUACAUGUUCUGUCUUCUGAUGACUAUGAUGUUUUUAGAAUUUUUUGUGCACACUCAUUCUGUUGUAUUGAAUACUUUCACAGCUUUGUUUGGAAGUCUACCUCAGUUAGAGUCUGAUUAAUAUUGCCCAAGACAAUCCUGACUUCUUUUUUUAAUAAAUUAUCUUCCAGACUUUUUGGUGUGAUUGACGUGUCACAUAAGUAGAGAAAUUUGCUACUUAAAGCUCUCUUCUGUGAGGUAGCUCCAUUAGAUGAAUUUUUAAACAAAAGUAGUUUAAAAUUGAAGUCGUGGGUAUUAGAAGCAUCACAGAACACACUUCACAAGAAUAGUGUACACUGUUCUUCAGAGAGAAUAGUGUUAUGACAAUCUGUAUAUAAUGUGGCUAGUGUUUAAUUGCCUAUCUUAUAUUAAAGAAAACAUAAUUAAUUAUUAUCUGAGGAUAUCUGAAAUGAGCACUACACAGGGAAUGGAUAUAUAAGUGAUAUACUGUACACUAUACCAACAAAGAUUGCUGUAAGUAUUUGAACUGGGCUACUUGUGCAAACUCUUUAAAAGUGCCUACACAGUGUUUAUGGAUACAUUCAAAAUAAUUGUAAACAAAUAAGUAUAACAUAGUACAUGACAUAGUACAAAAAUUUCAGAAUUGUAGUCCUAUAAUAAAUGACAUGGAUUUCCAAUAAAAGCUCUAAAUUGUGUUUCAGCAUGAAAAAGUUAAUACAGUCAUUGUUAUGUACUCCAUACACCAUUAAAAGCUAAAUGAAAUAAAAUUUUGGUAUCAAAAUGUGCAUGAAAUUCAGUUUUAAUGUUGCCCAAUAUUUGCGGCUAAGCACUACAAGACAGAGCACUGUAUCAUGUCAGUACAUUGUGAAAAGCAUGUAAAACUGUGUGAUGCAUUUUCUUCUUGUGUACUACAAAUGACAAAAUGUGCAUUUCAGAAAUAAUUUAGCCUUGUAAAUAACUUCUGACAAUGAAUUACAUAAGUGGUAAAAUGAAAGAUGUAAAAUAAACUUAGCUUUUAAAUGUCGAUUGCAUGUUAUGUUCAAAGUCAAAUAAAAUAUAUUCUGUUCUAUAA